Molecule: ribosomal RNA, 497 nt
Filed under: uncultured bacterium
Lineage: Bacteria
Description: partial 16S ribosomal RNA
Rfam family: Bacterial small subunit ribosomal RNA
Source: RNAcentral
GAUGAACGCUGGCGGCGUGCCUAAUACAUGCAAGUCGAGCGAACAGACGAGGAGCUUACUCCUCUGACGUUAGCGGCGGACGGGUGAGUAACACGUGGAUAACCUACCUAUAAGACUGGGAUAACUUCGGGAAACCGGAGCUAAUACCGGAUAACAUGUUGAACCGCAUGGUUCAACAGUGAAAGACGGUCUUGCUGUCACUUAUAGAUGGAUCCGCGUCGCAUUAGCUAGUUGGUAAGGUAACGGCUUACCAAGGCAACGAUGCGUAGCCGACCUGAGAGGGUGAUCGGCCACACUGGAACUGAGACACGGUCCAGACUCCUACGGGAGGCAGCAGUAGGGAAUCUUCCGCAAUGGGCGAAAGCCUGACGGAGCAACGCCACGUGAGUGAAGAAGGUCUUCGGAUCGUAAAACUCUGUUAUUAGGGAAGAACAAAUGUGUAAGUAACUAUGCACGUCUUGACGGUACCUAAUCAGAAAGCCACGGCUAACUACGUG